RNAcentral lists this ribosomal RNA (484 nucleotides) under uncultured bacterium. Its description in RNAcentral is "bacterial SSU rRNA". It matches the Rfam family "Bacterial small subunit ribosomal RNA", at positions 30 to 507 of the family's 1533-position model. The record is from RNAcentral.
AUUGAACGCUGGCGGCAUUGCCUUACACAUGCAAGUCGAACGGCAGCACGGGAGCAAUCCUGGUGGCGAGUGGCGAACGGGUGAGUAAUAUAUCGGAACGUGCCCAGUCGUGGGGGAUAACGUAGCGAAAGCUACGCUAAUACCGCAUACGAUCUAUGGAUGAAAGCGGGGAUCGCAAGACCUCGCGCGAUUGGAGCGGCCGAUAUCAGAUUAGGUAGUUGGUGAGGUAAAGGCUCACCAAGCCGACGAUCUGUAGCUGGUCUGAGAGGACGACCAGCCACACUGGGACUGAGACACGGCCCAGACUCCUACGGGAGGCAGCAGUGGGGAAUUUUGGACAAUGGGCGCAAGCCUGAUCCAGCAAUGCCGCGUGCAGGAUGAAGGCCUUCGGGUUGUAAACUGCUUUUGUACGGAACGAAACGGUGAGCUCUAAUACAGUUUGCUAAUGACGGUACCGUAAGAAUAAGCACCGGCUAACUACGUG